Molecule: ribosomal RNA, 300 nt
Filed under: uncultured Pyrobaculum sp.
Lineage: Archaea; Thermoproteati; Thermoproteota; Thermoprotei; Thermoproteales; Thermoproteaceae
Description: bacterial SSU rRNA
Rfam family: Bacterial small subunit ribosomal RNA
Source: RNAcentral
UCGAUGUCGGGGGCGGGUGCCGCGGUAAGGCGAAGCAGUGUAACGUUUUGCGGAUUGACUGUGCUUAAAGGGUGCGGAGGCGGUGCAGGAAGUCGGUUGUGAAAUCCCUCAGCGCAACUGAGGAAUUGCGCCCGAAACUGCUGGGCUCGAGGAAGACAGAGGUACGCGGAACUUAGUGUGGAGCGGUGAAAUGCGUUGAUAUCCUAAGGAACACCGGUGGCGAAAGCGGCGUACUGGGUCUUAUCUGACGCUGAGGCACGAAAGCUAGGGUAGCGAACGGGAUUAGAUUCCCCGGUAGUC